RNAcentral lists this ribosomal RNA (378 nucleotides) under uncultured eukaryote. RNAcentral describes it as "SSU rRNA". It matches the Rfam family "Eukaryotic small subunit ribosomal RNA", at positions 587 to 969 of the family's 1831-position model. The record is from RNAcentral.
AGCUCCAAUAGCGUAUAUUAAAGUUGUUGCGGUUAAAAAGCUCGUAGUUGGAUUUCUGUUGAGGACAGCCGGUCCGUACCUUGUGCGUGUAUCUGGUUUGGCCUUGGCAUCCUUCUGGGGAACGGCGCUGCGCUUGAUUGCGUGGUCCGGUAUUCAGAACUUUUACUUUGAGGAAAUUAGAGUGUUUACGGCAGGCAAUCGCCUUGAAUAUGUUAGCAUGGAAUAAUAAUAUAGGACACUGGUUCUAUUUUGUUGGUUUCUAGAACUAGUGUAAUGAUUAAUAGGGAUAAUUGGGGGCAUUCGUAUUAACACGUCAGAGGUGAAAUUCUUGGAUUGUGUUACGACGAACUACUGUGAAAGCAUUUGCCAAGGAUGUUU